This 227-nucleotide unclassified non-coding RNA is filed under the name plant metagenome. Its description in RNAcentral is "partial contains small subunit ribosomal RNA, internal transcribed spacer 1, and 5.8S ribosomal RNA". The record is from RNAcentral.
UUUCCGUAGGUGAACCUGCGGAAGGAUCAUUAAAGAAUUUGCCCCGUCCUCUCGCGGAUGGGUCCUCUUCUAAACCGUGUAUACAUACCUUUGUUGCUUUGGCGGGCCGCCGUCUCGGCGUUGGCUUCGGCUGACUGUGCCCGCCAGAGAACCCCAACUCUUCUGUUUAGUAUUGUCUGAGUACUAUAUAAUAGUUAAAACUUUCAACAACGGAUCUCUUGGUUCUG